RNAcentral lists this ribosomal RNA (258 nucleotides) under uncultured bacterium. RNAcentral's name for it is "partial 16S ribosomal RNA". The record is from RNAcentral.
CUGCUGCCUUCCGUAGGAGUUUGGGCCGUGUCUCAGUCCCAAUGUGGCCGUUCACCCUCUCAGGCCGGCUACUGAUCGUUGCCUUGGUAGGCCAUUACCCCACCAACUAGCUAAUCAGACGCGGAACCAUCGUAUACCACCAGAGUUUUUCACACCGCUUCAUGCGAAGCUGCGCGCUUAUGCGGUAUUAGCACCUAUUUCUAAGUGUUAUCCCCCAGUAUACGGCAGGUUUUCCACGCGUUACUCACCCGUCCGCCA